RNAcentral lists this ribosomal RNA (497 nucleotides) under uncultured bacterium. Its description in RNAcentral is "partial 16S ribosomal RNA". It matches the Rfam family "Bacterial small subunit ribosomal RNA", at positions 28 to 507 of the family's 1533-position model. The record is from RNAcentral.
GAUGAACGCUGGCGGCGUGCCUAAUACAUGCAAGUCGAGCGAACAGACGAGGAGCUUGCUCCUCUGACGUUAGCGGCGGACGGGUGAGUAACACGUGGAUAACCUACCUAUAAGACUGGGAUAACUUCGGGAAACCGGAGCUAAUACCGGAUAAUAUAUUGAACCGCAUGGUUCAAUAGUGAAAGACGGUUUUGCUGUCACUUAUAGAUGGAUCCGCGCCGCAUUAGCUAGUUGGUAAGGUAACGGCUUACCAAGGCAACGAUGCGUAGCCGACCUGAGAGGGUGAUCGGCCACACUGGAACUGAGACGCGGUCCAGACUCCUACGGGAGGCAGCAGUAGGGAAUCUUCCGCAAUGGGCGAAAGCCUGACGGAGCAACGCCGCGUGAGUGAUGAAGGUCCUCGGAUCGUAAAACUCUGUUAUUAGGGAAGAACAAAUGUGUAAGUAACUAUGCACGUCUUGACGGUACCUAAUCAGAAAGCCACGGCUAACUACGUG